GCUUGCUUGUUGGGGUUGUAGGACACUCUAUACGGAGUUACAAAGGACGACAUUAGACGAAUCAUCUGGAAAGAUGAAUCAAAGAAGGUAAUAAUCCUGUAGUCGAAAAUGUUGUCUCUCUUGAGUGGAUCCUGAGUACGACGGAGCACGUGAAAUUCCGUCGGAAUCUGGGAGGACCAUCUCCUAAGGCUAAAUACUCUCUAGUGACCGAUAGUGAACCAGUACCGUGAGGGAAAGGUGAAAAGCACCCCGGAAGGGGAGUGAAAUAGAACCUGAAACCGUGUGCUUACAAGUAGUCAGAGCCCGUUAAUGGGUGAUGGCGUGCCUUUUGUAGAAUGAACCGGCGAGUUACGAUUUGAUGCAAGGUUAAGCAGUAAAUGUGGAGCCGUAGCGAAAGCGAGUCUGAAUAGGGCGUUUAGUAUUUGGUCGUAGACCCGAAACCAGGUGAUCUACCCUUGGUCAGGUUGAAGUUCAGGUAACACUGAAUGGAGGACCGAACCGACUUACGUUGAAAAGUGAGCGGAUGAACUGAGGGUAGCGGAGAAAUUCCAAUCGAACCUGGAGAUAGCUGGUUCUCUCCGAAAUAGCUUUAGGGCUAGCCUCAAGUGAUGAUUAUUGGAGGUAGAGCACUGUUUGGACGAGGGGCCCCUCUCGGGUUACCGAAUUCAGACAAACUCCGAAUGCCAAUUAAUUUAACUUGGGAGUCAGAACAUGGGUGAUAAGGUCCGUGUUCGAAAGGGAAACAGCCCAGACCACCAGCUAAGGUCCCAAAAUAUAUGUUAAGUGGAAAAGGAUGUGGCGUUGCCCAGACAACUAGGAUGUUGGCUUAGAAGCAGCCAUCAUUUAAAGAGUGCGUAAUAGCUCACUAGUCGAGUGACACUGCGCCGAAAAUGUACCGGGGCUAAACAUAUUACCGAAGCUGUGGAUUGUCCUUUGGACAAUGGUAGGAGAGCGUUCUAAGGGCGUUGAAGCAUGAUCGUAAGGACAUGUGGAGCGCUUAGAAGUGAGAAUGCCGGUGUGAGUAGCGAAAGACGGGUGAGAAUCCCGUCCACCGAUUGACUAAGGUUUCCAGAGGAAGGCUCGUCCGCUCUGGGUUAGUCGGGUCCUAAGCUGAGGCCGACAGGCGUAGGCGAUGGAUAACAGGUUGAUAUUCCUGUACCACCUAUAAUCGUUUUAAUCGAUGGGGGGACGCAGUAGGAUAGGCGAAGCGUGCGAUUGGAUUGCACGUCUAAGCAGUAAGGCUGAGUAUUAGGCAAAUCCGGUACUCGUUAAGGCUGAGCUGUGAUGGGGA
This 1291-nucleotide ribosomal RNA is filed under the name Staphylococcus aureus. RNAcentral describes it as "partial 23S ribosomal RNA". It matches the Rfam family "Bacterial large subunit ribosomal RNA", at positions 283 to 1572 of the family's 2925-position model. The record is from RNAcentral. Lineage: Bacteria; Bacillati; Bacillota; Bacilli; Caryophanales; Staphylococcaceae.